This 274-nucleotide ribosomal RNA is filed under the name uncultured bacterium. RNAcentral's name for it is "partial 16S ribosomal RNA". The record is from RNAcentral.
CUGCUGCCUUCCGUAGGAGUUUGGACCGUGUCUCAGUUCCAAUGUGGGGGACCUUCCUCUCAGAACCCCUACGCAUCGUCGGCUUGGUGGGGCCGUUGCCCCACCAACUACCUAAUGCGCCGCAUGCCCAUCCGUGACCGGGGUCGCCCCCUUUGGCCGGCAGGGGAUGUCCCCUCCCGGCAUUAUGUUGUAUUAGGCGGGAUUUCUCCCGGUUAUCCAUCUGUCACGGCCAGGUUGCAUACGUGUUACUCACCCGUGCGCCGGUCGCCGGCGG